AAAUCAAUUACGCAGUUUAUAAUUGCACACAAUAGAGGGCUUGCAGUUGCGUCACAAACCACCUAGCAACCGCAAUUGGAGCCAUGUUGGAAGACCAAUCAGUCUGUUGGAAGUCCUCCAACUGUCCAAAAGGCUGGCUGUGUUCUGCUAUCACUGGAAACUUCGGGAAGAUUGCCCAUUAUUUUGUUUUUCUAAGGACCCAGAAAACGGAGGCAUUGGGAGAACCUAUUCAAAUAUAGAGAGCCGUGAAACCCUGCCUGCAGCUGAAGAGGUCCCAAUGAAUGUCCCAAAAGAAUAAAAGGAGCCUCCCAAGUGACGUAGCGGUCUAAGGCACUGCAUCGCAGUGCUAGAGGCGUUACUACAGACCCAGAUUUGAUCCCAGGCUGUGUCACAGCCAGCUGCGACCAGGAGACCCAUGAGGUGGCGCACAUGCACAAUUGGCCCAGUGUCAUCCAGGUUAGGGGAGGGUGUCCCAUCACGCGCUAGCAACUCCCUGUGCCAGGCCAGUAUGGUGUUUCCUCCGACACAUUGGUGCGCCUGGCUUCUGGGUUAAGUAAACAGUGUGUCAAGAACAUGUGCAGCAUGGCAGGGUUGUGUUUCGGAGGAUGCUUUCAACCUUCACCUCUCACGAGUCCGUACGGGAGUUGCAGCGAUGGGACAAGACUAACUACCAAUUUGGACAUCACAAAAAAGGGAUAAAAGCGUGCUCUUGGAAACCCAUCUGGAGGCAGAGUGGGUUGAGCGUGGCUAUAUUCCAUCACCAUCACCACAGUUCUUUGGCCGCCACCAUAAAGAAUUCCAACGAGACAAUUUUGUGGUGCGCAGGGCGAGCUGACAGGGAGUGUUAUUAAAGCGCAGGGUGCUGACCGCUCUGAAAGUUAUUAAAGUGCUCUGAGAUUGUGUCUGUGAUCGCCCUGCCGGGGUGUCCUUCACACACACACACACACACACACCCAGCGGUACAUUACAGUGAGGACGUGGUCAUCGCAGAGAGAGGGGGUGUACAGGGGGGAGUACAGACCAGACAGACACAUCAGGGCCCACCG
Oncorhynchus tshawytscha (Chinook salmon) is the source of this 1046-nucleotide long non-coding RNA. Lineage: Eukaryota; Metazoa; Chordata; Actinopteri; Salmoniformes; Salmonidae. The record is from Ensembl.